CCCUUAGAUGUUCUGGGCCGCACGCGUGCUACACUGAACGGUUCAAUGGGUAAGGUAGUGCGAAAGCAUGACCUAAUCUCGAAAUCCGUUCGUGCUGGGGAUAGAAGCUUGCAAUUAUCCUUCUUGAACGAGGAAUACCUUGUAAGCGUGAGUCAUCAUCUCACGCUGAAUACGUCCCUGCCCCUUGUACACACCGCCCGUCGCUCCUACCGAUUGAGUGUUCCGGUGAGGCUUUGGGAGAAUGGCCUCAACAUGAGUUUAUCGUGUUUUGCCGUUUGAACUUAGUCAAACCUUAUCACUUAGAGGAAGGAGAAGUCGUAACA
RNAcentral lists this ribosomal RNA (323 nucleotides) under uncultured eukaryote. RNAcentral's name for it is "partial 18S ribosomal RNA". It matches the Rfam family "Eukaryotic small subunit ribosomal RNA", at positions 1470 to 1796 of the family's 1831-position model. The record is from RNAcentral.